RNAcentral lists this long non-coding RNA (599 nucleotides) under Oryza brachyantha (malo sina). Its description in RNAcentral is "long non-coding RNA (OBRA_LNC000109)". The record is from RNAcentral. Lineage: Eukaryota; Viridiplantae; Streptophyta; Magnoliopsida; Poales; Poaceae.
GUAUCAGGAGUAUAGGAGUAUAUAGUUGGAAAAUGCUACCUAGCUUUGGCAAGCAAGUAAGUACUCAACUAACAAUCAUUAUACAUAAUGACAUUUUCAAAUCUCGAUCGCAUGCCUCUUAACUCUAGUUUAUUCUCUUCUCAUGUGCAUUCUCAAACCACUACAUACCCUCUGCUUUUAGUGGGCCAGCAUCGAUCAGAGAGGGAUGGCUAGAGUCUAUCAUCAAACCAUGGAUAAGAACAUCAGUGCCAUGACAUUAUUGUUGAUCUGGAAUGCAAUGGACCAAACACGCAGAGCUCCAUGUGCGACAAGUUUCAACUGUUCUACUGAAGAGACUUUGUGAUGAACACAAAUGAUGAACCACAAAUGGUUUGUAUCCUAUUUCUUUUCUGACAGACACAAUUACCAUAGCCACAAACUGGAGUGUGAGAGGAUAGGUAGUUGUUCUGUAGCCCUAGAUUAUUGGAGAUUGGUUUAGAGAACUAAAAAAUAAGAUUAUAAUUAAUGAAGCUUCAAAAUGCAAGUCAAGUACAGUUACUUUUUGUUGUAGGCAUUGUUGUAGAAACGUUGUAAUCAUGAUGCUAAAACAGUAAAGAUGC